AGCUCCGUGAUUACAUUGCCCAUUCAGGCUAUAUACGCUAUUCCGAUUCAAAAAUAUGAGCUGAAAAUCGUUGAGAGAAAGUAUGAGAGCU
RNAcentral lists this small nucleolar RNA (91 nucleotides) under Theobroma cacao (cacao). RNAcentral describes it as "Small nucleolar RNA U54". It matches the Rfam family "Small nucleolar RNA U54". From Rfam's summary of the family: U54 is a C/D box small nucleolar RNA, which acts as a methylation guide for 18S ribosomal RNA in plants. The record is from Rfam by way of RNAcentral. Lineage: Eukaryota; Viridiplantae; Streptophyta; Magnoliopsida; Malvales; Malvaceae.